CCUACGGGAGGCAGCAGUAGGGAAUAUUACUCAAUGGGGGAAACCCUGAUGCAGCAACGCCGCGUGGAGGAUGAAGGUUUUAGGAUUGUAAACUCCUUUUGUUAGAGAAGAUUAUGACGGUAUCUAACGAAUAAGCACCGGCUAACUCCGUGCCAGCAGCCGCGGUAAUACGGAGGGUGCAAGCGUUACUCGGAAUCACUGGGCGUAAAGAGUACGUAGGCGGGGUAAUAAGUCAGAUGUGAAAUCCCGUAGCUUAACUACAGAACUGCAUUUGAAACUGUUACUCUGGAGUGUGGUAGAGGUAGGUGGAAUUCUAGGUGUAGGGGUAAAAUGCGUAGAGAUCAAGAGGAAUACU
This 355-nucleotide ribosomal RNA is filed under the name uncultured bacterium. Its description in RNAcentral is "partial 16S ribosomal RNA". It matches the Rfam family "Bacterial small subunit ribosomal RNA", at positions 338 to 710 of the family's 1533-position model. The record is from RNAcentral.